GGGACCGUGGGGUAGCUUGGUAUCCUUCGAGCCUUGGGUGCUCGCCACCUCGGUUCAAAUCCGAGCGGUCCCA
RNAcentral lists this transfer RNA (73 nucleotides) under Natronoarchaeum philippinense. RNAcentral's name for it is "tRNA_Pro_TGG". RNAcentral also lists the same sequence under 1 other name. Lineage: Archaea; Methanobacteriati; Methanobacteriota; Halobacteria; Halobacteriales; Natronoarchaeaceae. The record is from RNAcentral.